GCUACUUCCUCAAAUCUAGUUGUUGAAAAACCAAUAUUCUUUUAGAUGUCUUCAUUUAUAAUUACUACUGUCAAAAUACAGCAGUUACAUUACAAUUAUAUAUCCUGAGUAACUUUUGUGGAGUUAUGGUUCAUGGAACAAGGGUAAGAUGAUGAUUUAGUGAAAACUCUAUAAAUAUUGCAGCUUCUGAUUGAGCAACCUAGAUAAAAAUAGAUGUACAACUAUGUAGUAUACUAUGGCACUCUCUUGAUCCUAAGUUACUCACUCUCUUUCAAUCCUGCAAAACAUAUUGCAAAGUAUGGGCCACAGCUAAAACAUUAUAAACAAAUGAUGUUCAACACAUCUAUAAAGUUAACAGUGUUUACUUGCAAUAGGAUCAUCAGGACAUGGCAUGGCACGCUACUUGGGUCAGGUAGAUACACUCAAAGACGAAUUCAAUUCCCUCAUGCCAUUCACAGAUAGCCUUACUAACACUUAUCAUUAAUUCUCUU
This 491-nucleotide unclassified non-coding RNA is filed under the name Hevea brasiliensis (rubber tree). The record is from RNAcentral. Lineage: Eukaryota; Viridiplantae; Streptophyta; Magnoliopsida; Malpighiales; Euphorbiaceae.